GAUGAACGCUGGCGGCGUGCCUAAUACAUGCAAGUCGAGCGAACAGACGAGGAGCUUGCUCCUUUGACGUUAGCGGCGGACGGGUGAGUAACACGUAGGUAACCUACCUAUAAGACUGGGAUAACUUCGGGAAACCGGAGCUAAUACCGGAUAAUAUUUCGAACCGCGUGGUUCGAUAGUGAAAGAUGGCUUUGCUAUCACUUAUAGAUGGACCUGCGCCGUAUUAGCUAGUUGGUAAGGUAACGGCUUACCAAGGCAACGAUACGUAGCCGACCUGAGAGGGUGAUCGGCCACACUGGAACUGAGACACGGUCCAGACUCCUACGGGAGGCAGCAGUAGGGAAUCUUCCGCAAUGGGCGAAAGCCUGACGGAGCAACGCCGCGUGAGUGAUGAAGGUCUUCGGAUCGUAAAACUCUGUUAUUAGGGAAGAACAAACGUGUAAGUAACUGUGCACGUCUUGACGGUACCUAAUCAGAAAGCCACGGCUAACUACGUG
This 497-nucleotide ribosomal RNA is filed under the name uncultured bacterium. Its description in RNAcentral is "partial 16S ribosomal RNA". It matches the Rfam family "Bacterial small subunit ribosomal RNA", at positions 28 to 507 of the family's 1533-position model. The record is from RNAcentral.